Molecule: ribosomal RNA, 382 nt
Filed under: uncultured cyanobacterium
Lineage: Bacteria; Bacillati; Cyanobacteriota
Description: bacterial SSU rRNA
Rfam family: Bacterial small subunit ribosomal RNA
Source: RNAcentral
CGAAAGCCCUGACGGAGCAAGACCGCGUGAGGGAGGAAGGCUCUUGGGUUGUAAACCUCUUUUCUCUGGGAAGAAGCUCUGACGGUACCAGAGGAAUCAGCAUCGGCUAACCUCCGUGCCAGCAGCCGCGGUAAUACGGAGGAUGCAAGCGUUAUCCGGAAUUAUUGGGCGUAAAGCGUCCGUAGGUGGCUCUUCAAGUCUGCCGUUAAAACCAGUGGCUUAACUACUGAGGGGCGGUGGAAACUGAAAAGCUAGAGUGUGGUAGGGGUAGAGGGAAUUCCCAGUGUAGCGGUGAAAUGCGUAGAGAUUGGGAAGAACACCGGUGGCGAAAGCGCUCUACUGGACCACAACUGACACUCACAGGACGAAAGCUAGGGGAGCG